RNAcentral lists this ribosomal RNA (815 nucleotides) under uncultured bacterium. Its description in RNAcentral is "bacterial SSU rRNA". It matches the Rfam family "Bacterial small subunit ribosomal RNA", at positions 8 to 817 of the family's 1533-position model. The record is from RNAcentral.
AGAGUUUGAUCCUGCCUCAGGAUGAACGCUGGCGGCGUGCUUAACACAUGCAAGUCGAGCGGAAAUAUUUUAAAUGAAGGCUUCGGUUGGAAUUUAUAAUAUUUUAGCGGCGGACGGGUGAGUAACGUGUGGGUAACCUGCCAUAUACUGGGGAAUAAUCAUUUGAAAAGAUGACUAAUACCGCAUGUCGUCACCGAGGGGCAUCCCUUGGUGAAAAAAGGAGUAAUCCGGUAUAUGAUGGACCCGCAUCUGAUUAGCUAGUUGGUGAGAUAAUAGCUCACCAAGGCGACGAUCAGUAGCCGACCUGAGAGGGUGAUCGGCCACAUUGGGACUGAGACACGGCCCAAACUCCUACGGGAGGCAGCAGUGGGGAAUAUUGCACAAUGGGCGAAAGCCUGAUGCAGCAACGCCGCGUGAAGGAAGAAGGGUUUCGGCUCGUAAACUUCUAUCAAUGGGGAAGAAACAAAUGACGGUACCCAAAUAAGAAGCCCCGGCUAACUACGUGCCAGCAGCCGCGGUAAUACGUAGGGGGCAAGCGUUAUCCGGAAUUACUGGGUGUAAAGGGAGCGUAGGCGGCAUGGUAAGCCAGAUGUGAAAGCCCGAAGCUUAACUUCGAGGAUUGCAUUUGGAACUAUCAAGCUAGAGUACAGGAGAGGUAAGUGGAAUUCCUAGUGUAGCGGUGAAAUGCGUAGAUAUUAGGAAGAACACCAGUGGCGAAGGCGACUUACUGGACUGAAACUGACGCUGGGCUCGAAAGCGUGGGGAGCGAACAGGAUUAGAUACCCUGGUAGUCCACGCCGUAAACGAUGAGUGCU